CCUACGGGUGGCUGCAGUGGGGAAUAUUGGACAAUGCGCGAAAGCCUGAUCCAGCCAUGCCGCGUGUGUGAAGAAGGCCUUCGGGUUGUAAAGCACUUUCAGUGGGGAAGAAAGCCUUGGGGCUAAUACCCUCGAGGAAGGACAUCACCCACAGAAGAAGCACCGGCUAACUCCGUGCCAGCAGCCGCGGUAAUACGGAAGGUGCGAGCGUUAAUCGGAAUUACUGGGCGUAAAGCGCGCGUAGGCGGUCUGAUAAGCCGGUUGUGAAAGCCCCGGGCUCAACCUGGGAACGGCAUCCGGAACUGUCAGGCUAGAGUGCAGGAGAGGAAGGUAGAAUUCCCGGUGUAGCGGUGAAAUGCGUAGAGAUCGGGAGGAAUACCAGUGGCGAAGGCGGCCUUCUGGACUGACACUGACGCUGAGGUGCGAAAGCGUGGGUAGCAAACAGGAUUAGAUACCCCUGUAGUC
Molecule: ribosomal RNA, 465 nt
Filed under: Vreelandella stevensii
Lineage: Bacteria; Pseudomonadati; Pseudomonadota; Gammaproteobacteria; Oceanospirillales; Halomonadaceae
Description: partial 16S ribosomal RNA
Rfam family: Bacterial small subunit ribosomal RNA
Source: RNAcentral